GACGAACGCUGGCGGCGUGCCUAAUACAUGGAAGUUGAGCGCUGAAGGCUGGUACUUGUACCAACUGGAUGAGCAGCGAACGGGUGAGUAACGCGUGGGGAAUCUGCCUUUGAGCGGGGGACAACAUUUGGAAACGAAUGCUAAUACCGCAUAAAAACUUUAAACACAAGUUUUAAGUUUGAAAGAUGCAAUUGCAUCACUCAAAGAUGAUCUCGCGUUGUAUUAGCUAGUUGGUGAGGUAAAGGCUCACCAAGGCGAUGAUACAUAGCCGACCUGAGAGGGUGAUCGGCCACAUUGGGACUGAGACACGGCCCAAACUCCUACGGGAGGCAGCAGUAGGGAAUCUUCAGCAAUGGACGAAAGUCUGACCGAGCAACGCCGCGUGAGUGAAGAAGGUUUUCGGAUCGGAAAACUCUGUUGGUAGAGAAGAACGUUGGUGAGAGUGGAAAGCUCAUCAAGUGACGGUAACUACCCAGAAAGGGACGGCUAACUACGUG
RNAcentral lists this ribosomal RNA (497 nucleotides) under uncultured bacterium. RNAcentral's name for it is "partial 16S ribosomal RNA". It matches the Rfam family "Bacterial small subunit ribosomal RNA", at positions 28 to 507 of the family's 1533-position model. The record is from RNAcentral.